Molecule: non-coding RNA, 135 nt
Organism: Pelobates cultripes (western spadefoot toad)
Lineage: Eukaryota; Metazoa; Chordata; Amphibia; Anura; Pelobatidae
Source: the annotation of a GenBank genome assembly
AGCUUUCUUGCCAGUGGCAGUGUCGGCCCAUGAGGUCAUCCAGUGAUUAUUGCUAGUGAAAACUUUACCCAAUACCCCGCCAUGAUGACUUGAAAUACUGUCAGCAUUGGCAAUUUUUGACAGGCUCUGAGGAGA